RNAcentral lists this ribosomal RNA (253 nucleotides) under uncultured bacterium. RNAcentral's name for it is "partial 16S ribosomal RNA". It matches the Rfam family "Bacterial small subunit ribosomal RNA", at positions 524 to 776 of the family's 1533-position model. The record is from RNAcentral.
AACGUAGGUGGCAAGCGUUAUCCGGAAUUACUGGGCGUAAAGGGUGUGCAGGCGGGGGUGCAAGUGGUGGAUGAAAUAUCCCAGCUUAACUGGGAGGGGUUAUGCCAGACUGCAACUCUAGAGGACGAGAGAGGGGGGUGGAAUUCCGGGUGUAGUGGUGAAAUGCGUAGAGAUCCGGAGGAACCCCAGAGGCGAAGGCGGCCCCCUGGCUCGUAACUGACGCUGUAGCGCGAAAGCGUGGGGAGCGAACCGG